GAGUUUGAUCAUGGCUCAGAACGUACGCUGGCGGCACGCCUAACACAUGCAAGUCGAACGAAGUAGCAAUACUUAGUGGCAGACGGGUGAGUAACAUGUAGGUAUCUACCCUAUGGUUUGGAAUAACACGAGGAAACUUGUGCUAAUACCAAAUAAGUCUUUACGGAGAAAGCUUUAUGCGCCAUUGGAUGAGCCUGCACUUGAUUAGUUUGUUGGUGGGGUAAUGGCCUACCAAGACAAUGAUCAAUAGCUGAUUUGAGAGGAUGAUCAGC
Molecule: ribosomal RNA, 272 nt
Filed under: uncultured Alphaproteobacteria bacterium
Lineage: Bacteria; Pseudomonadati; Pseudomonadota; Alphaproteobacteria
Description: partial 16S ribosomal RNA
Rfam family: Bacterial small subunit ribosomal RNA
Source: RNAcentral